This 253-nucleotide ribosomal RNA is filed under the name uncultured Acetobacteraceae bacterium. RNAcentral's name for it is "partial 16S ribosomal RNA". It matches the Rfam family "Bacterial small subunit ribosomal RNA", at positions 524 to 776 of the family's 1533-position model. The record is from RNAcentral. Lineage: Bacteria; Pseudomonadati; Pseudomonadota; Alphaproteobacteria; Acetobacterales; Acetobacteraceae.
UACGAAGGGGGCUAGCGUUGCUCGGAAUGACUGGGCGUAAAGGGCGCGUAGGCGGAUGGUACAGUCAGAUGUGAAAUUCCUGGGCUCAACCUGGGGGCUGCAUUUGAUACGUGCUGUCUAGAGUGUGGAAGAGGGUUGUGGAAUUCCCAGUGUAGAGGUGAAAUUCGUAGAUAUUGGGAAGAACACCGGUGGCGAAGGCGGCAACCUGGUCCAUUACUGACGCUGAGGCGCGAAAGCGUGGGGAGCAAACAGG